CCUACGGGGGGAGCAGUGGGGAAUAUUGGACAAUGGGGGGAACCCUGAUCCAGCCAUGCCGCGUGUGUGAAGAAGGCCCUCGGGUUGUAAAGCACUUUCAGUGAGGAAGAACGCCUGGUGGUUAAUACCCAUCAGGAAAGACAUCACUCACAGAAGAAGCACCGGCUAACUCCGUGCCAGCAGCCGCGGUAAUACGGAGGGUGCGAGCGUUAAUCGGAAUUACUGGGCGUAAAGCGCGCGUAGGUGGCUUGAUAAGCCGGUUGUGAAAGCCCCGGGCUCAACCUGGGAACGGCAUCCGGAACUGUCAAGCUAGAGUGCAGGAGAGGAAGGUAGAAUUCCCGGUGUAGCGGUGAAAUGCGUAGAGAUCGGGAGGAAUACCAGUGGCGAAGGCGGCCUUCUGGACUGACACUGACACUGAGGUGCGAAAGCGUGGGUAGCAAACAGGAUUAGAUACCCUGGUAGUC
This 464-nucleotide ribosomal RNA is filed under the name Vreelandella stevensii. RNAcentral's name for it is "partial 16S ribosomal RNA". It matches the Rfam family "Bacterial small subunit ribosomal RNA", at positions 338 to 795 of the family's 1533-position model. Lineage: Bacteria; Pseudomonadati; Pseudomonadota; Gammaproteobacteria; Oceanospirillales; Halomonadaceae. The record is from RNAcentral.